RNAcentral lists this ribosomal RNA (253 nucleotides) under uncultured bacterium. RNAcentral's name for it is "partial 16S ribosomal RNA". It matches the Rfam family "Bacterial small subunit ribosomal RNA", at positions 524 to 776 of the family's 1533-position model. The record is from RNAcentral.
GACGUAGGGCGCGAGCGUUGUCCGGAUUUAUUGGGCGUAAAGAGCUCGUAGGCGGCUUGUCGCGUCGACUGUGAAAUCCCGAGGCUCAACCUCGGGUCUGCAGUCGAUACGGGCGGACUGGAGUUCGGCAGGGGAGACUGGAAUUCCUGGUGUAGCGGUGAAAUGCGCAGAUAUCAGGAGGAACACCGGUGGCGAAGGCGGGUCUCUGGGCCGAUACUGACGCUGAGGAGCGAAAGCGUGGGGAGCGAACAGG